Molecule: RNA transcript, 2063 nt
Organism: Musa acuminata AAA Group (dessert banana)
Lineage: Eukaryota; Viridiplantae; Streptophyta; Magnoliopsida; Zingiberales; Musaceae
Gene name: protein EARLY FLOWERING 5-like
Exons: 4
Source: RefSeq, a predicted model, not a curated record
CGAGAAAGUUAUACCCACACCGCCACGUCGAUGCAUCUCCUCUCCACCCUUCCGUUCAUUCCAGCGCCUCUCUUUCUCUCUCUAUAAGGACGUGGUCUUUCUCUCUGUAGUCGCCGUUUCCUUUACUUCCUCGCAGUACCGACAAAACCCUCUCCCCCGGUUGCAAGAUGAGCGAUCCAAAGUACGCAUACCCUUAUCCUGCUCAAGGCUAUUAUCAAGGGCCACCUGUGAUGGCACCACCACAGUAUGCUGCUCCACCACCACGAAGACAGGCUGGUUUUCUUGAAGGAUGUCUCGCUGCUCUGUGUUGUUGCUGCCUCAUUGACGAGUGUUGCUGUGACCCAUCGAUAAUAUUUAUCAGCUGAUCACUAUCUCGUUCCAAGAUUGUUAUGCCCUUUUUAUUUAUGUGUGAUUUAAAUAAAAAACUCUCAAAGAUUAUGAUGUAAAAUGUUUCUUUAGGACGAGGUUUGUGUCAUAUAAAAAAUCUUUGCAGCCUCUGUAUACUGUGAUCGUGGAACAGCUUCAUCGAUAGUAUUCCUUGCUUGUGUAUUUUCCCUGCUCCUUUUGCUUCGUGUGGAAUUAACAUGGUGGACUCUUAUUUCUGACCUUUGAUUUCAGCAACACAAAGGUUGAAAUUAAGGUAUGGUCAAUGUCAGGUUUUCUUAUGGAAUAUAUUCUCACAUCUGAAGCUAGGAUUCUGCUUGAACUAUUAUCAUUUGACAAAUGAUAGACCAAUCCUGGAUGCCAGUUUGUGGUGGUUGUGGGUUCUUCUUCUUCUUCACAGUUUCUAGUUCAUAUCCGAGACAAUAAUUAACAAUCUUAUAUUUAUUUUAUGUCUAAUCUUCUUUCCACGUAUCAGAAAGGAAUGGGGAAAUCAAUUCAGUCGAAUUUAUCAAAAGGCAUCUUAUCUUCUUGUAUAAACUGACGUGACUGAUGUGUUCCUUGGCUCAGGUCUCUGGAAAAUUAAUGCAGCAGCUUCUUCCACGAGAGCCAAAGUCAUACUGUCACUUUGUUGACCUUUAUUGAAGCCUCUUAACCUAUUAAUUUAGAGAAAAAAUGAUAGAAUUAGAUGAGUUAGGCUCUUUGCAUCACACAGACUUGGGUCCACCAUCCAUUCUCUGUCCAAUCAACUUGCACAGAAAAUUAUUGGCUGAAUUUGACAAACAUUCUGAAGAAGAAGAGCAGAAUAUUGAAUUCAUGAGGCCCAUCACCCACCAUCCUUUCAGAGUGGAAAUUCUUCUCAGAAUUAAAAAAAAUGAAGAAAACUAAGAGUAGAUAGAGAUAAAAUGAAAAAAAGGCACUUUUGAGGAGAGAGAUUAUAAUAAAAUAUUAUGAUUACAAACAGAUGUCAAUCAGUAAAGAUUUUGACAUACUAAUUUAGGUUUAAAUUUUGCUUUUAUGUAUAUAUAUAUAUAUAUAUAUAUAAAACUAUGAUGAUAAGAAGAAGGCUCAUAUAAUGUGUAAUAAAAUGAAAUUUUCUUUUAUGUAUAUAAAAAACUAUGUUUUCUCCAACUCCUCUUUGACCGAUAACAUUUCAGUCUGAUAGAUGAAAUGGUAUUAUCUUUUUCUAACUUGGAGGGGUGUUUAUGAUAUUUACAAUCAUGUGGCCCCCAUUACUGCAACCGUGAAUGGGCUUUUUUUGAAAGUUUAAAGGCCGACUUGGACCGGUCCCGAAUUCUAAUCCGGUCCAACUUAAUUUUGUGCCAGCGAUAAAUAACUCGGGCCAUCGAAGUUGAACCAGAAGCGGAAAGCGAUCGUUGCAAGAAGAAGCAGAAGAGCAGGAGAAGAAGUAGAGGGUUUCCUUCUCUUCUGGUUUCGGAAGCAGGAGCAGCGGAGGGGAGGACAAAAUGAAGACGACCAAGGGAGGGAAGGUCAUGAACCCCACCGACGCCUACCGGAAAGAGCUCCGCAAGAAGGAGCUCAAACGGGCUUGGUCUACAUCACGGGAUCUAAAAUAAAAUUUCCCCGAGACAUGCAUGCAACAAUUAGAAGUCUUUGAUCAUGAAGGUGCUUUUAAUGAAUUUAGUUGAACCAGAAGUUUAUUGGCCCCUUGAGACAUGCAG